UACGUAGGUGGCAAGCGUUAUCCGGAUUUAUUGGGCGUAAAGGGAACGCAGGCGGUCUUUUAAGUCUGAUGUGAAGGCCUUCGGCUCAACCGGAGUAGUGCAUUGGAAACUGGGAGACUUGAGUGCAGAAGAGGAGAGUGGAACUCCAUGUGUAGCGGUGAAAUGCGUAGAUAUAUGGAAGAACACCAGUGGCGAAAGCGGCUCUCUGGUCUGUAACUGACGCUGAGGUUCGAAAGCGUGGGUAGCAAACAGG
Molecule: ribosomal RNA, 253 nt
Filed under: uncultured bacterium
Lineage: Bacteria
Description: partial 16S ribosomal RNA
Rfam family: Bacterial small subunit ribosomal RNA
Source: RNAcentral